Molecule: ribosomal RNA, 460 nt
Filed under: uncultured bacterium
Lineage: Bacteria
Description: partial 16S ribosomal RNA
Rfam family: Bacterial small subunit ribosomal RNA
Source: RNAcentral
CCUACGGGGUGCUGCAGUGAGGAAUAUUGGUCAAUGGACGAGAGUCUGAACCAGCCAAGUAGCGUGAAGGAUGACUGCCCUAUGGGUUGUAAACUUCUUUUAUAUGGGAAUAAAAUGUUCCACGUGUGGGAUUUUGUAUGUACCAUAUGAAUAAGGAUCGGCUAACUCCGUGCCAGCAGCCGCGGUAAUACGGAGGAUCCGAGCGUUAUCCGGAUUUAUUGGGUUUAAAGGGAGCGUAGGUGGAUUGUUAAGUCAGUUGUGAAAGUUUGCGGCUCAACCGUAAUAUUGCAGUUGAAACUGGCAGUCUUGAGUACAGUAGAGGUGGGCGGAAUUCGUGGUGUAGCGGUGAAAUGCUUAGAUAUCACGAAGAACUCCGAUUGCGAAGGCAGUUCACUGGACUGCAACUGACACUGAGGCUCGAAAGUGUGGGUAUCAAACAGGAUUAGAUACCCUUGUAGUC